AGGGCACCACCAGGAGUGGAGCCUGCGGCUUAAUUUGGCUCAACACGGGAAAACUCACCCGGCCCGGACACCGUAAGGAUUGACAGAUUGAGAGCUCUUUCUUGAUUCGGUGGUUGGUGGUGCAUGGCCGUUCUUAGUUGGUGGAGCGAUUUGUCUGGUUUAUUCCGAUAACGAACGAGACUCUGGCCUACUAAAUAGAGACAGGAUUAUUACUGUCUUGGAUUCUUCUUAGAGGGACAAGUGGUUUUCAGCCACACGAAAUUGAGCAAUAACAGGUCUGUGAUGCCCUUUGAUGUCCGGGGCUGCACGCGCGCUACACUGAAGGAAUCAGCGUGUAUCUUCGACCUGGUCCGAAAGGAUCGGGUAACCCGUUGAAACUCCUUCGUGCUUGGGAUAGGGAAUUGGAAUUAUUUCCCUUGAACGAGGAAUUCCCAGUAAGUGCGGGUCAUAAGCUCGCGUUGAUUACGUCCCUGCCCUUUGUACACACCGCCCGUCGCUACUACCGACUGGACGAUUUCA
Molecule: ribosomal RNA, 519 nt
Filed under: uncultured eukaryote
Lineage: Eukaryota
Description: bacterial SSU rRNA
Rfam family: Eukaryotic small subunit ribosomal RNA
Source: RNAcentral